CAACAGGGAUUGCCUCAGUAACGGCGAGUGAAGCGGCAACAGCUCAAAUUUGAAAUCUGGCCUUCUGGUCCGAGUUGUAAUUUGUAGAGGAUGCUUCGGGUGCGGUGCCUUCCAAGUUCCCUGGAACGGGGCGCCAGAGAGGGUGAGAGCCCCGUCCGGUCGGCCGCCAAGCCUGUGUGAAGCUCCUUCGACGAGUCGAGUAGUUUGGGAAUGCUGCUCUAAACGGGAGGUAGACCCCUUCUAAAGCUAAAUACCGGCCAGAGACCGAUAGCGCACAAGUAGAGUGAUCGAAAGAUGAAAAGCACUUUGAAAAGAGGGUUAAACAGUACGUGAAAUUGUUGAAAGGGAAGCGCUUGUGACCAGACGUGCGGCGGGUGCUCAGCAGGCGUUCUCGCCUGUGCACUCGCCCGCCGCAGGCCAGCGUCGGUUCGGGAGGGGGGAUGAAGGCGUCGGGAACGUAGCUCCCCCGGGAGUGUUAUAGCCCGGCGUGUCAUGCCCCCGCCCGGACCAAGGUUCGCGUUCGCAAGGACGCUGGCGUAAUGGUCCUCAGCGGCCCGUCUUGAAACACGGACCCAGGACUCGAGGUUUAGCGCGAGUGUUUGGGUGUCAAACCCGCACGCGUAAUGAAAGUGAACGUAAGUGGGAGCUUCGGCGCUUACCGACCGAUCCUGAUGUUCUCGGAUGGAUUUGAGUAGGAUCGAGGGCCUCGGACCCGAAAGAUGGUGAACUAUACGUGGAUAGGGUGAAGCCAGAGGAAACUCUGGUGGAGGCUCGCAGCGGCUCUGACGUGCAUAUCACGAUCGUCAAAUCUGCGUAUGGGGCGAAAGAUAAUGAAAGCAUCUAGAAACUGGUUACUGCUGAGUUUCCCCUCAGGAUUCCCUCAGGAA
This 887-nucleotide ribosomal RNA is filed under the name Tainosphaeria siamensis. RNAcentral describes it as "eukaryotic LSU rRNA". It matches the Rfam family "Eukaryotic large subunit ribosomal RNA", at positions 66 to 990 of the family's 3401-position model. Lineage: Eukaryota; Fungi; Ascomycota; Sordariomycetes; Chaetosphaeriales; Chaetosphaeriaceae. The record is from RNAcentral.